Molecule: ribosomal RNA, 330 nt
Filed under: uncultured eukaryote
Lineage: Eukaryota
Description: partial 18S ribosomal RNA
Rfam family: Eukaryotic small subunit ribosomal RNA
Source: RNAcentral
CCCUUAGAUGUUCUGGGCCGCACGCGCGCUACACUGACGCAUUCAACGAGUCUAAAACCUGGUCUGAUAGGGCUGGGUAAUCUUUUGAAUGUGCGUCGGGAUUGGGAUAAAUGAUUGUAAUUCUUCAUUUUCAACGAGGAAUGCCUAGUAAACGCAAGUCAUCAGCUUGCAUUGAUUACGUCCCUGCCCUUUGUACACACCGCCCGUCGCUCCUACCGAUUGAAUGAUCCGAUGAAUAUCAUGGACUGAGAGUGUUAGAGUUUUCGGACUUCUACACUUCUCGGGAAGUGAAGUGAAUCUUAUCAUUUAGAGGAAGGAGAAGUCGUAACA